RNAcentral lists this ribosomal RNA (449 nucleotides) under uncultured bacterium. RNAcentral describes it as "partial 16S ribosomal RNA". It matches the Rfam family "Bacterial small subunit ribosomal RNA", at positions 29 to 523 of the family's 1533-position model. The record is from RNAcentral.
AACGAACGCUGGCGGCAUGCCUAACACAUGCAAGUCGAACGAAGGCUUCGGCCUUAGUGGCGCACGGGUGAGUAACGCGUGGGAAACUGCCCAUUGGUGGGGAAUAACGACGGGAAACUGUCGCUAAUACCGCAUAAGCCCUUCGGGGGAAAGAUUUAUCGCCGAUAGAUGUGCCCGCGUCCGAUUAGCUAGUUGGAGAGGUAAUGGCUCACCAAGGCGCAGAUCGGUAGCUGGUCUGAGAGGAUGAUCAGCCACACUGGGACUGAGACACGGCCCAGACUCCUACGGGAGGCAGCAGUGGGGAAUAUUGGACAAUGGGCGAAAGCCUGAUCCAGCAAUGCCGCGUGAGUGAUGAAGGCCUUAGGGUUGUAAAGCUCUUUCGGGUGGGACGAUGAUGACGGUACCACCAGAAGAAGCCCCGGCUAACUUCGUGCCAGCAGCCGCGGUAA